Long non-coding RNA from Mastomys coucha (southern multimammate mouse), 765 nucleotides. RefSeq lists it as uncharacterized. The transcript is spliced from 4 exons. Lineage: Eukaryota; Metazoa; Chordata; Mammalia; Rodentia; Muridae. The record is from RefSeq and is a predicted model, not a curated record.
AGGUUCCCAGGUAGGUGCUUUGUGAUGCCACUAUGACCUGUGCUAUCUGGAUUUCGGAGGAUGACAUGGAAUAUUUUCUUCCCUUGAAAAGCACAUGUUAACUAUUAGACCAUGCCUACAAACUUCUUCACACAUCUAAACUUUAAUGAUUCCUAGAAGAACCUCACUGUAUAAAAUGAGGAUAUGACUGCUCCAAGGAACAAGAAUCUGGAGUCUCUCCUCCUUCCCCUAUCACCCAGGGCAGACAAGGGUCCCUAGCUCACCCUGGCCUGACCUCCAGCUCCAUCUGCAAGUGGCUGUCCCACCCCUCACAAGCAGCAUCAGUGAUAUGUGCUGAGAAACAAGUUUCCAUUUCUUCCACUGAAGCUGCGCUGGGAUUCUUUGGAGUGGAAGUAUGAGAUAGGAGCUAAUGCAGCCAUUCUACUACUAGAGAGAGCGGCAGGAAGUUCACAUGCUCCUUGGUGGCGCCUCUUCAUGAAGGACUGCUGUUACCCACUAUAAUCUCUCCUCCCAGGUCACAGUCCGGCAUCCUGGGAAGCCAAAGCAGGAACUCAAGGUAAGGACCAGGCAGCAGGAACUGAAGCAGAGACCAUGGAGGUUUGCUCAGCCUACUUUCUUAUAUAGCCCAGGCAGGCCCAUUUGCCUAGCAGUGGCACACAAUGAGCUCAACCCUCCUACAUCAAUUAGCAAUUAAGAAAAUGUACCAUGGACAAUCUCACAGGCCAAUUUCAUAGAGGUAAUUUCUCAAUUGAGGUUCCCUCUUCC